GAUGAACGCUGGCGGCGUGCCUAAUACAUGCAAGUCGAGCGAACGGACGAGAAGCUUGCUCCUCUGCUGUUAGCGGCGGACGGGUGAGUAACACGUGGAUAACCUACCUAUAAGACUGGGAUAACUUCGGGAAACCGGAUCUAAUACCGGAUGAUAUUUUGAACCGCAUGGUUCAAAAGUUAAAGACGGUUUUGCUGUCACUUAUAGAUGGAUCCGCGCUGCAUUAGCUAGUUGGUAAGGUAACGGCUUACCAAGGCAACGAUGCGUAGCCGGCCUGAGAGGGUGAUCAGCCACACUGGAACUGAGACACGGUCCAGACUCCUACGGGAGGCAGCAGUAGGGAAUCUUCCGCAAUGGGCGAAAGCCUGACGGAGCAACGCCGCGUGGGUGAUGAAGGUCUUCGGGUCGUAAAACUCUGUUAUUAGGGAAGAACAUAUGUGUGAGUAGCUGUGCACAUCUUGACGGUACCUAAUCAGAAAGCCACGGCUAACUACGUG
RNAcentral lists this ribosomal RNA (497 nucleotides) under uncultured bacterium. RNAcentral describes it as "partial 16S ribosomal RNA". It matches the Rfam family "Bacterial small subunit ribosomal RNA", at positions 28 to 507 of the family's 1533-position model. The record is from RNAcentral.